GUUUUUCUAGUAAGUUU
RNAcentral lists this small RNA (17 nucleotides) under Arabidopsis thaliana (thale cress). RNAcentral's name for it is "ATSL146640". Lineage: Eukaryota; Viridiplantae; Streptophyta; Magnoliopsida; Brassicales; Brassicaceae. The record is from RNAcentral.